UGCUAGGAGGGCAUGCCGUAAGGAGUGUGCAGUGUAGACCUGUCCCAAGUGGUAUCAUCCCUGUUACAGUGGAAGAAACUGAAAUCCAAAGAGACUUAGGAGCAACAUCUCUGUGUAAAGGUCUGUGUACAUGGCAGAACGGAUGCGGUUCCACUGUCCAAGAGUCUCCAAACUGCCUGAAAUAUUCAUGUGAUGGGAAAGGAAGAAAGUGAAGAGCCAAUUGGUGCUGUGUUGUUUGUUUGCUUUGACAAUUGCACAUGCCAGAGAAAUAGGAGAGAGCAUCAGGUGGUGCUUGAAGGGCAUGCCCUAUCCUACACGAGUGGAGUCUUCAAUCAGGGAGUGGAUGAUGCCUUGUUAUGGGUGACUGAGGAGAGCAAAUAAACAAGAACAAAAUAAAAUUACAAAUCUACUCCUCGGGUGGUAAUUUGUUUUGGACAGUGAAGAUAGUACAGUAUUCUGAAAGCAAUCGCUUAAGCAUCCACCCGGGAUUGGAUGAACUGGGUGGGAGAGGCAGAGACAAAGGGUCAGGGGCCUACUGGGUUACUAAAGGUGAUCUGGGUUCAGUCCCCAUUUCAAUCACCAGUGAAGUGAGCUUGAUCUUUUCAUGCCAGUGCCAUAAAGAACAUGCAACUAGAUUUGCAGUACUGAAUAAAACUAAUCUCUGCCCAUCUCUCCAUUAAGGAGAGACCAAUAAGUAUAAUUCAAAAACCCACACUAAACCAUCCAGCUAAUCUGCAAUCCCAAGGCAGGCACAUCUAAAACCCUCACCGUAUUUACAUCUUCUGGAAGGCCAGACCCCUCCAUCAAAACCAGCUACAAUGGUCAAAGGCCUCUUC
Molecule: long non-coding RNA, 836 nt
Organism: Chelonia mydas (Green sea turtle)
Lineage: Eukaryota; Metazoa; Chordata; Testudines; Cheloniidae
Exons: 3
Source: RefSeq, a predicted model, not a curated record